CGGGGUGGAGUAAUGUCUGGGAAACUGCCUGAUGGAGGGGGAUAACUGCUGGAAACGGUAGCUAAUACCGCAUAACGUCGCAAGACCAAAGAGGGGGACCUUCGGGCCUCUUGCCAUCGGAUGUGCCCAGAUGGGAUUAGCUAGUAGGUGGGGUAACGGCUCACCUAGGCGACGAUCCCUAGCUGGUCUGAGAGGAUGACCAGCCACACUGGAACUGAGACACGGCCCAG
This 230-nucleotide ribosomal RNA is filed under the name uncultured bacterium. RNAcentral describes it as "partial 16S ribosomal RNA". It matches the Rfam family "Bacterial small subunit ribosomal RNA", at positions 104 to 334 of the family's 1533-position model. The record is from RNAcentral.